This 170-nucleotide non-coding RNA is filed under the name Loxodonta africana (African savanna elephant). Its description in RNAcentral is "ODC internal ribosome entry site (IRES)". It matches the Rfam family "ODC internal ribosome entry site (IRES)". Lineage: Eukaryota; Metazoa; Chordata; Mammalia; Proboscidea; Elephantidae. The record is from Rfam by way of RNAcentral.
GUUCCCACUGCUGGACCAAGGGUACAAGGUUAUUAAUCAGUGGAACGUGGAAUUCCUGGAGAAUUGCCUUUGUGAAAAGCUGGAAAUAGUUUGUUUAAAAUCUCUCUUACAGUUUUCCAUGUAAGUAUUCAAUUUACACUUUUGUCGCAGGUUGAUCUUUUUAAAAAUCA